RNAcentral lists this long non-coding RNA (518 nucleotides) under Populus tremula. RNAcentral's name for it is "long non-coding RNA (PTRE_LNC002872)". The record is from RNAcentral. Lineage: Eukaryota; Viridiplantae; Streptophyta; Magnoliopsida; Malpighiales; Salicaceae.
GCUCAUCAUCCAUCGAGUGCCAAACUUGAUUUUGAAUUUUUAUUCUCACAAUACCAACAUCAAGGAGAGCACAUCGUUUUACUGGUUGAACAUGAUAAUUUUCUUUGGUUACAUGUGCAUGAAAAAUUAUACAAUAAUUACAGGAUUAUGUGAAAAAUAAAAAAAAUUAAAAAAUUAAAAGCAAAAAUAAAGAGGGAUAUGUCUCCUAUAGAAUGAAUAAAAUAAUUAAAAGUAAAAUUACAAAACUGAAGAUGGUGGCGUGCCUUUCAAAUAGGAGGAGCAGAGCUUAACAAAUAAAGGAGAAUGGAGCAGAGCUUAAAACUGAAGAUGGUGGCGUGCCUUUCAAAUAGGAGGAGCAUGGAGCAGAGCAUAACAAAUAAAGGAGAAUGGAGCAGAGCUUAACAUAAAAGAGCAUGCAGGAGAAUCAAAAAGUAAAGAACUAAAGAUGCAGGGAGCAAAUAGAAAGGAGAGAUGGAGAGAUGUAGAGAGCAAGGGAGGGGACGGCUGGCUUUGUUUUU